CUACGUAGGGGGCAAGCGUUAUCCGGAAUUAUUGGGCGUAAAGAGUACGUAGGUGGUUUCCUAAGCGAGGGGUUUAAGGCAAUGGCUUAACCAUUGUUCGCCCCCCGAACUGGGUAACUUGAGUGCUGGAGGGGAAAGCGGAAUUCCUAGUGUAGCGGUGAAAUGCGUAGAUAUUAGGAGGAACACCAGUGGCGAAGGCGGCUUUCUGGACAGUAACUGACACUGAGGUACGAAAGUGUGGGGAGCAUACAGGAUUAGAUACCCUGGUAGUCCACACCGUAAACGAUGAGCACUAGGUGUUGGGCUCGCAAGAGUUCGGUGCCGCAGUUAACGCAUUAAGUGCUCCGCCUGGGGAGUACGUACGCAAGUAUGAAACUCAAAGGAAUUGACGGGG
This 394-nucleotide ribosomal RNA is filed under the name uncultured bacterium. RNAcentral's name for it is "partial 16S ribosomal RNA". It matches the Rfam family "Bacterial small subunit ribosomal RNA", at positions 523 to 918 of the family's 1533-position model. The record is from RNAcentral.